Molecule: unclassified non-coding RNA, 181 nt
Filed under: uncultured Xylaria
Lineage: Eukaryota; Fungi; Ascomycota; Sordariomycetes; Xylariales; Xylariaceae
Description: sequence contains ITS1
Source: RNAcentral
AAGAGUUAUACAACUCCUAAACCCAUGUGAACCUACCUUUGUUGCCUCGGCAGGUCUGCAGCCUACCCUGUGAGGACCUACCCUGUAGGGACCUUACCCGGUAGUUGCAGGUUUUAACCUGCCGGUGGUCUACCAAACUCUGUUUACUAUGUUAUUCUGAAUAAUAUAACUAAAUAAGUUA